AUUGAACGCUGGCGGCAGGCUUAACACAUGCAAGUCGAGCGGUAGCACAGGGGAGCUUGCUCCCUGGGUGACGAGCGGCGGACGGGUGAGUAAUGUCUGGGAAACUGCCUGAUGGAGGGGGAUAACUACUGGAAACGGUAGCUAAUACCGCAUAACGUCGCAAGACCAAAGAGGGGGACCUUCGGGCCUCUUGCCAUCAGAUGUGCCCAGAUGGUAUUAGCUAGUAGGUGGGGUAAUGGCUCACCUAGGCGACGAUCCCUAGCUGGUCUGAGAGGAUGACAAGCCACAAUGGAACUGAGACACGGUCAAGACUCCUACGGGAGGCAGCAGUGGGGAAUAGUGCACAAUGGGCGGAAGCCUGAUGCAGCCAGGCCGAGUGUGUGAAGAAGGCCUUCGGGUUGUAAAGCACUUUCAGCGAGGAGGAAGGUGGUGAGCUUAAGACGUUCAUCAAGUGACGUUACUCGCAGAAGAAGCACCGGCUAACUACGUG
This 490-nucleotide ribosomal RNA is filed under the name uncultured bacterium. Its description in RNAcentral is "partial 16S ribosomal RNA". It matches the Rfam family "Bacterial small subunit ribosomal RNA", at positions 29 to 507 of the family's 1533-position model. The record is from RNAcentral.